This 305-nucleotide ribosomal RNA is filed under the name uncultured bacterium. RNAcentral's name for it is "bacterial SSU rRNA". It matches the Rfam family "Bacterial small subunit ribosomal RNA", at positions 335 to 637 of the family's 1533-position model. The record is from RNAcentral.
UACCCUACGGGACGCAGCAGUGAGGAAUAUUGGUCAAUGGGCGGGAGCCUGAACCAGCCAAGUCGCGUGAGGGAAGAAGGUACUGAGUAUUGUAAACCUCUUUUGCCGGGGAGCAACGGGCGUCACGUGUGGCGCCACUGAGAGUACCCGGAGAAAAAGCAUCGGCUAACUCCGUGCCAGCAGCCGCGGUAAUACGGAGGAUGCGAGCGUUAUCCGGAUUUAUUGGGUUUAAAGGGUGCGUAGGCGGAUCGUUAAGUCAGUGGUCAAAUUGAGGGGCUCAACCCCUUCCCGCCAUUGAAACUGGC